Molecule: long non-coding RNA, 1280 nt
Filed under: Ananas comosus (pineapple)
Lineage: Eukaryota; Viridiplantae; Streptophyta; Magnoliopsida; Poales; Bromeliaceae
Description: long non-coding RNA (ACOM_LNC010856)
Source: RNAcentral
GCAAUAAUAAAAUUGUUUUACUGAAUUAUAUUUUAAAAUAAUUUAAAUUUUGAAUUUGAAUAAAUAUUUAAAAUUUAAAAUUUAAAAUUUUAAUUUGAACUAAAAUGUAAAAUUUAAUAUUUGAAUUUAAGAAUCUAAAUUUAAAAUUUAAAAUUUAAUAUUUAAUAUUUAAAUUUGAGGUAUAAAAACUAAAUUUUAAUUUUAAAUUUAAAAUUUUAAAUUUAAAAUUUAAAGUUUAAAAUUUAAAAUCUAAAUUUGAAUUCAACAUUAAAAUUAGAAUAUAAAAUUUGAGUGCAAAAUCAAAAAUUGAUUUCAAAAAGCAAAUUUUAGCUAAUUUUGAUUUUGUGCCUGUAAAAUCAGAAAACUGAUUCUAAACAUUAGAAUCAAAUUUUGAAAAAAAUAAAACUUCAAAUACCAUCGCAGUGGUUUUGCACUUUCUCACUUUAAUGCUCUAUGGUUUAAAGUGUAUCACUCUAUGAUUUUUUUUUUUAUUAUUAUUAUCUAUUCCACUAACUUUUUUGUUAAAUCGGUAACAAAAUUAAAACUAAAUAAUACUAAAGUGAAUAUUCGAUAAACCUAGAUAGGGUAUAUGAAACAUUUUGUAUAUAAUUUAACAAAAUAUUAACGAGAGAGCUGACGAAAAGAGAAAAAUAAAAUUACAGGCUACUAAACUUGAUACACUUUAAAUCAUAUGGUACUAAAGUGAAAAAGUACGAAACCACAUAAAUAGUAUUUAAAAUUUACCCAAAAAAAAUUACUAAAUAUUUUAUUAAAAAAAAUCACUUUUGACUCUAAAAUUACUUUUCAGAAUCUUAGAUCAAACGCCCACGUAAUCUAUGUGAAGCUUCUUCCACUCCUAUGCAGUUGGCAACGGCAAAAGUGAUACAACUCAAAAAGAGUCUUCAUAUCCAGAACUUUUUACCUUUUACUACCACACUACAAUAUCAUAUUAAAAAUUUAAAAGCCAUAUAUAUUUUUUUUUUUUUGAGAGAUAGGUAGCACGCUAUCCGCUUCGUUUAUUUUAUUUAAAUAUAAAUUUAGUUGGAAAUGUGAAUCAAUUAGAAUUCUAAUUUGGAUCUCGGAUACCAACCAUAAAACUUUUUACCACUUGCUCUAGAGACGGUCGAUAAAAAGCCAUACUUGAUAGAUAUGAUAACAGAAUAUGCACUCAAAAAAAAAAAAAAAAAAAAAAUCAAUCUCUCUCUCUCUCUCACUCUCUCUCUCUCUCUCAACCGCCUCAAAACGGUUCCCUUUCCCACCUUUUUUCUCUACUCUUUCCA